RNAcentral lists this ribosomal RNA (253 nucleotides) under uncultured bacterium. Its description in RNAcentral is "partial 16S ribosomal RNA". It matches the Rfam family "Bacterial small subunit ribosomal RNA", at positions 524 to 776 of the family's 1533-position model. The record is from RNAcentral.
UACGGAGGGUGCAAGCAUUAAUCGGAUUUAUUGGGCGUAAAGGGCGCGUAGGUGGUAAGGAAAGUCAGAUGUGAAAUCCCGGGGCUCAACCUCGGAACUGCAUUUGAAACUUCCUUUCUAGAGGAUAGGCGGAGAAAACGGAAUUCCACAAGUAGCGGUGAAAUGCGUAGAUAUGUGGAAGAACACCGGUGGCGAAGGCGGUUUUCUAGCUUAGACCUGACACUGAUGCGCGAAAGCAAGGGGAUCAAACAGG